Molecule: long non-coding RNA, 2102 nt
Filed under: Trifolium pratense (red clover)
Lineage: Eukaryota; Viridiplantae; Streptophyta; Magnoliopsida; Fabales; Fabaceae
Description: long non-coding RNA (TPRA_LNC001608)
Source: RNAcentral
CACUACUAGAAAAUUGAUCAUUUGGGACGGAUUUUUGGGACGGAAUGAAUUUUGUCUGAAGCAAAAUUACACUUUCAAACAGAUUUUGGACAAAUUUCAAAUUUGUUUGAAAGGUUGAGACGGAUUUCAGACGAAAUGCAUAUUUUUGAAUAUUUUAUAUUUUUUUCACGAUUUCCGUCCCAAAUCCGUGUGAAAUAUUGGGACGGCUUUGAGACGGAUCCAUAAUUUUGUGCAUUGUUAAUGUUUUUAAUGAGUUCCGUCCGAAAUCCGUGUGAAAUGUUUAGACAGAUUUGGGACGGAUCUAUUAUAAAAAUUAAAAUGGAUUCCAUCAUAACCCUAAUUUACUUUUCUGUGUAUAUACCUUCCGUUCCGCCGCUUCAUUUUUUCCCUUUACUUUUGCUUGGCUUCUUCUCUGUAACAUAUGCCUCUGUUUGAGAUGGUUCUUCGACGUGCUGGUGACAAAGAAACGAAACCCUUCUAGUUCAAUUUGGCCCAUGUCCCUCAAGAAGAUUCCUCUCCCGUCGUUACUUUCUCCCUUCGAGGUAAGAUCCCUCCACCGUGACCAACAUCUUCGUGGUAAAAUUCUUCCCCAUUAUGAGUUAACAUUCUUUCUCCUUUCAUUGCUCCAGAAAACAUAGAGCCUCUAUGAAGAGAGAUUCACAUUUGUUGUCACAUCUCUUCAACUUGUGGUGAGUUGAAUCUGAUCUAAUUCCCCCAAAUAUGGAACCCUAAUUCAGUAAUUUGUAUUUACCCAAAUCUUUGCCUCACAUGAUACAAGAGUAUAUCUCUGAUUUGUUUUAUUUCAAUUGCAGAAAUGAAACUAAAAAGUUAAAAGUUUGCUUUCAGGUAUGAACAUCAAAGUUUAUUGUUGUUAAAAUUUAAGGUAGCGUGUAAUUUGAUAGAUAUUAAUAUCAUUGGAUCUGGCUUGUUUAGUGUGGCAGACGUUCUUGGGUGUGAUUAAUGCGGAUGCUUCUUUAAGUUUGAUGUAUUUUAUAGGGUGGUAUAUGGUCUUGGUUUUGACUUUUAUGCAGGCUGGUUUUGAGCAUGCUAGUAGUGUUCUUGAGGAUCUUGAAAUACUUCAAUUGAUACAUAAUAGAUAUUAUGGCUUUGUUUAAAUAUCAUGUCUUUAAUUAAGUUUGAUGUAUGUCUNNNNNNNNNNNNNNNNNNNNNNNNNNNNNNNNNNNNNNUUGCUAGAGUGGCGUCUUAAAUUACUUAUGCAGGCAGCAUGCUUUGAGAGUUGAGACAUAUAUCCUUCUCUAAUCUCUUUGUUGUUUCCCCUGUUUUCAUUGAAAUUUUCAUUCUAUUAAUAUUUGGUAAGGAAUUUCUUUUUGGACUUGUUUAAGUUAGCAUUUACUACUGUCUAUUUUUGAAAUGGUUUCAGAGUGUUGUAUAAACAAUAAUAACUAGAAGAAUAUGAAAGAGUUGCUUCUCUACUUGAUGAGGAGAGGAAGAGUAUGCUACUUCUAGUUGAUGAGAAGGACAAGCCUAUGUUGUUUCAAGUUGGCAAAUGUAAGUUAUGCAGGCUGGUUAUUUUCGGUAGUUAAGUUAGUUUAGGCUCUUGCUCAUAUUUCUACGAAACAAGAUUUGAAUCAAUUUAUACAUCAUGCAUCUUUUUUUUAAUGGCAAUGCAUCAUGCAUAUAUUUUUGGACUAUCUUGUAGUAGAUAUGAUUUAAUAUGAAAGAAGAAUUUAGUUAGACAUUAAAGCUUGUUGAAAGGAACUAAAACUAAGAGCUUAUUAGAUUGGUGUAUAUUGGUCAAUCUUAAUUUUUGGUUGGUUUUGUUUGAUGAAGUUAAUGUAGUUGUGUUGUGUGCUUUGCUAAUAUAUAAUUUUGAAAUGGUUUUUAGGGAUAUGCAGACUGAAGUAUGACAAUGUGCAAAGGCUACUUGAACAAGUUUUAACGUGGAUGAGGAGAAACAAGUUUUAUUGGGACACUUGCAUUUUAUCUUAUGUAAAUGUAUUUUAGUGACAAUAUUUGUAGAGCUCAUUAUUUACUUGAGCUGAAAAUAGUUGCACAUUAAUGUGAUUUUGUAACAUUUGAAUGAAAUAAUUUAUGUGUCUUGGUUUAUUUCAAAAUGCAAUUAGAAUAAAUUUCUUUUAUAA